AAGCAAACACUGAAAUGAAAGAAAUGAGACCCCCACACCCAGCUGUGCCCGGUGCUCGCUUUGUGAGGGGAUGGGUGGCAACAACUGGGCGGGGUGCGUGACCCUGAGAUGACCCCGGCCCCGCCGCCUCAGGUGGAAAAGGCGCGGAGGAGGAGGCGGGAAACGAGAGCAGCUGCAAGCAAAAGAGGCGGGAAACGACGGCGGCGUUCUGCGCUCCUAUUGGCUGAGGCACAAGUGCUUGCCUGAGGGUGUGGUUGCAAAUGGUGUGCUUAGAGAGUGAAGUAGCAAGAGGGAUGUGGGCUGAGAAGGAGGUAUGGGAAAUUGGAGAGAAAGCAUCUUCGUACAUCCUUGGAGAGGAACUGAUGGAAAGGAGGAAAGCGCUGAAGAGAUGGAGAAAGUAGGGGAAGAAGCUCUACAGAAAGGAAGAUAAAGUAGAACACAGACAGAAACACUCAGCUGUAAUGUAAAAUACAACUUGCAAAUAAACAUGUCAUGGUUUUAUCGUUUUCUGUUAUGAGUGUUCCACAUCAUAACAUCCUGCAGUGUGCUGGGAGUUAAAGACUUAUGCCCCAGUUCUGUGGAUGGAACCCAUGGCCCAAAAUUUUGGCAGCUGAAAACCUCACAUAGAAGUUCUUAUUCAUAACUUAACAGGAAAUGCUCAAAGGAAGAGAUAAAUUUUUGGGAACUGGCAUAGGUUGGUUUGUUUAGCAGUGGGGGAUCAGUGAUUAGUUUAAGAAACAAUGUGUUAGUUUAGUAAGAGGAAUCCAUAAGUAAUAGUUACUAAGUUGUUCAUUUCAGCUUCAGUGGGUGAACAGUCCUGUUUUACUUCAGUUUUGCACUGGGGACACCAUAGAGUACUUCUAUCUUCUGCCUCAAAAAAUGCAAGGACAUUUUCCUGGAAAAAGACUGAAUGUCCUGGUGCCAACUGUGAGGAGUACAGGAAUGCUGAUUUCAAAUACCUGAGUGGGAAUGGAGCUUGCUGGACCCCACGGCCACCCUGUAAGUAGGUUAGUGCUAUUUUCCCCACCCCUCUUCCUCCUGCUGAGCACUGUUGCCUGUCAGUGUGGCGGCCCUGUACUCAGGGUGCAUGUCAUGUCACUUGGCCUUUGGCCUUACCUGAG
This 1121-nucleotide long non-coding RNA is filed under the name Gallus gallus (chicken). Its description in RNAcentral is "long non-coding RNA NONGGAT007272". The record is from RNAcentral. Lineage: Eukaryota; Metazoa; Chordata; Aves; Galliformes; Phasianidae.